Molecule: long non-coding RNA, 481 nt
Filed under: Gossypium barbadense (sea-island cotton)
Lineage: Eukaryota; Viridiplantae; Streptophyta; Magnoliopsida; Malvales; Malvaceae
Description: long non-coding RNA (GBAR_LNC009582)
Source: RNAcentral
CUCACGCGCUCACGUGCCACCACGUACGGUGGUCGGAGGGUCAAAACCUUCCCCCUUUUCAGCGAAAGUCAGGUAAUCUCUUUUCCUUUUUGCUAUUUGUAAUAUAUGUUAAAAUAUUCACCUUUGUAUUCGAUUGGCUACUGGUAUUGUAAGUCGAUACUACUGUGCUCUGUUGAAUUUGUUUGUAUAUUUCUCUCUUCGUAAAUCGUGUGUAUAUUAUUGUCUUUGUAAAAAAUCAGGGAUCCUUUUUUACAAUGAAGGUAUUUGGGCUUUAUAGCCACUGUUUACAGUGUAUUUACAUCUUUAUUUUAUUUCCUUGCCAUAUUUGUUGGUUCUGCUCCCUCUUGUUUCCUUUUGCAGGCGAUCGAAGAGAAGAAAGGGCACUGAUCACGGCGUCGAUUUGCGUCUCAACGAGAUACAGGGCCUGGAAUCACGGCACCUAUGAAGGGUAGCUGAAACGACGCAAGGUGAAACGGCAUGA